Molecule: ribosomal RNA, 492 nt
Filed under: uncultured bacterium
Lineage: Bacteria
Description: bacterial SSU rRNA
Rfam family: Bacterial small subunit ribosomal RNA
Source: RNAcentral
AAAUGAAUAGACGGGGGCCCGCACAAGCAGUGGAGUAUGUGGUUUAAUUCGAAGCAACGCGAAGAACCUUACCAGGGCUUGACAUCCCGUGCAUAACCUAGAGAUAGGUGAAGUCCUUCGGGACACGGAGACAGGUGGUGCAUGGUUGUCGUCAGCUCGUGUCGUGAGAUGUUGGGUUAAGUCCCGCAACGAGCGCAACCCUUAUUGCCUGUUGCCAUCAUUAAGUUGGGGACUCAGGCGAGACUGCCGGUGACAAAUCGGAGGAAGGUGGGGACGACGUCAAAUCAUCAUGCCCCUUAUGUCCUGGGCUACACACGUACUACAAUGGCUGCCAACAAAGGGAAGCGAAGCCGCGAGGCGGAGCGAAUCCCCAAAAGCAGUCUCAGUUCGGAUUGCAGGCUGUAACCCGCCUGCAUGAAGUCGGAAUUGCUAGUAAUCGCGGAUCAGCAUGCCGCGGUGAAUACGUUCCCGGGCCUUGUACACACCGCCCGU